Clupea harengus (Atlantic herring) is the source of this 1146-nucleotide long non-coding RNA. The record is from Ensembl. NCBI's taxonomy places the organism in Eukaryota, Metazoa, Chordata, Actinopteri, Clupeiformes, Clupeidae.
GCCAUCUGUUGUGUUUAUGUCUCAUGUUGUGUUUACGUCUCAUGUUGUGUUUAUGUCUCAUGUUGUGUGUGUGUGUGUCUGUCUGUCUUUCAUGGCAGUCAGGAGACAGGUGAGCAUGUAGAUGCUCUGAUGUCCUGCCUGAGCAGAAUGCCCGGUCUGGAGGAGGUAUCGAUAGAAGUGACCCUCCUGGACGAGUCCUGGGCCACUGGAUUUCUCCAGCUCUUCCUGGCCUGCCCCCACCUCAAACACAUAACGUGUUCAGUCCACACUGCUGACAAAGGGUCUCUAGAUGUGUGUGUGGAGAACUACAACGAGAUGCUGUGGUUGUCUGUGAAGAAGCGUUCUCUCGAACCCCUGUCUGAGCUUGAGGAAGCCUGGGUUAAUGCCAGGGGCCGUGUUCACCUGCCCCCUACCUGUGUUACACUCAUCCUGCCCCCUACCUGUGUCGUCCUCAUCCUGCCCCCCUCACCUGAGCUGCAACACCUGGACUGGGGAGGCUUCUUCAGCAGCUGCCUCUCACCGGAGAACAACUCAGACCAUCUAGGCCCUGAUGAGAACGUUGAGGCCCUGCUGUCUUUCUUGCGGCGUGUUCCAGAUCUUAAAGGGGUGAGGCUGGACAUGGGCCCCCUGACUGAGAGAUCGGCCUCUGGGGUCAUCUCCCUCAUCCAGGCCUGCCCAACACUCACAGACCUCAGGUACAUCCCCCUCAUCCACUCACAGACCUCAGGUACAUCCCCCUCAUCCACUCACAGACCUCAGGUACAUCCCCCUCAUCCACUCACAGACCUCAGGUACAUCUCCCUCAUCCACUCACAGACCUCAGGUACAUCUCCAUCAUCCAGGCCUGCCCCACACUCACAGACCUCAGGUGGUUCUGUGGAGAACAAGGGUAUGGCAUCGUCUCUGAGGAAGGACUUAACAUCCUCCAGCAGUCUCAACAUCAUCUCAGAGGCAUCCUCUCUCUAACAGGGUAUGUGUGUGUGUGUGUGUGUGUGUGUGUGUUUGUCUCAACAUCAUCUCAGAGGCAUCCUCUCUCUAACAGGGCUGAAGUGCCGAGUGUCUGCUGAGCUGUGCCCUGACCACAUAGACCUGAAGCACCGUCACCAGAGAGAAGAGCUCCAGUUCACAGGGGACUCUGUCCAACAC